GCGCCACUGAUCCUGGGAUACCAAUGCACAUAAAUGGGAUUAAAGAAUGUGUUCUUUGCUGUUUUCCUGGACGUAUUAGAGGGCUGCAGCGACACAGCAAAAACAAUACAAAUAGACGGCGAUGCAGGAGCAGCCGAAGACGUCUGCAGUGUCACAUGAAACACAAUUAGACCAACUGUGGCAUAAACACUGAAGGUUUAAUGCGUAAGUGCGCGCUGAGUGAUGGAGAUAACUGCCAAAUGCUUUAGUAAAUCCUACUAAAUGCGAUACGUGUGUGAGAAGGUAGUGCAGAAGUGUUUGUGCAUUUUGUUUAUGAUACUGACGAAUGUUGCUGUGAUGCGCAUAUUGCUGUGGUUUUGGUGGUGCGUAAUCCCUGGUUUGUUGACAAUUUGUCGUCGUUCUUGUAAUGAGGGACAGCAGUUGGUGGAGAGGAAAUUAUAGAAGCGUUGAGGUACAAACUCAUGAGAGGCUAAAUUCCAGGCUGUGUAGACAUGACAGUCGUCGAGUGCAACAGAAAAGAAAAGCAACUGCAUUAAAUGUUAGUGGCGCAGACGAAGAUGCCACAUUUCACUGUGCUGGAAUUGCGCAGCUGUCGCCCUGUGUGCCAGGAAUUACAGAAAAUAAAAUGGCCACAAGGAAAUUAAAAAAAAUGUCAAUAAAUGAAAUAAUUGAACUGUGUAGUGCAUCUGUAGACAAAUAAAAUCAAGCUUUUCCUUUGUCAGCGUCAAAUUAAAACGGGUAGAUUAUGUCAUCAGUCGCUCUACAUUCAUCAAAAUGAUUUCUCACGCUACAGAAUUAACUGCUACAUUUCUCAUUAGUUAGACCGGAUCACGUAAAACUCAAUCUGAGCGGUUCAGGCGUCAGCGAGAGGAAUGUUUGUCAUGGCUGCUGAGUUCAGAUUCAACCAUGAAAUUUAAAAGGCCAGACGCCAGACCUUAACCCGGAUAACGCCGAACGCUGUCCUGGUGUGUGAGCUGAUGGAUGCGCUGGUCUGCUUCUAUGCAGCAACUCCCCACUUCUGCAGAGAGGAGACUAUUUACUAAAUAUAGCAGAUCUUAAAUCAGAUUAUCCUUAAGUUGUGUGUUUCCUGUAGGUUGAAGGUCUUAGUCCGUUUAUUCGCUCGUGACAUUAAAUCGAGUAAAAUGUCCUAAUCUGUUACCACAGCACGUUGUCACACAGAUACAUUAUAGACUAUUUGCCUGGAAAGAAAACUUCUACUGUUUGACUUAAUGCCUGUAACUCUGUGUGUGUUCGCGUGCGUUCAUGAGAAUUAAGCAUUUUUUCAUGAUCAUUUACAUUUAAUGUGCUACAAUAAAAUAUUUAGAAAUAAG
Long non-coding RNA from Betta splendens (Siamese fighting fish), 1331 nucleotides. RefSeq lists it as uncharacterized. The transcript has 2 exons. The record is from RefSeq and is a predicted model, not a curated record. NCBI's taxonomy places the organism in Eukaryota, Metazoa, Chordata, Actinopteri, Anabantiformes, Osphronemidae.